This 492-nucleotide ribosomal RNA is filed under the name uncultured bacterium. Its description in RNAcentral is "bacterial SSU rRNA". It matches the Rfam family "Bacterial small subunit ribosomal RNA", at positions 9 to 506 of the family's 1533-position model. The record is from RNAcentral.
GAGUUUGAUCUUGGCUCAGGACGAACGCUGGCGGCGUGCUUAACACAUGCAAGUCGAACGGGAUCCAUCCAGUGGCAACACUGGUGAAGAUCUAGUGGCGAACGGGUGAGUAACACGUGAGGAACCUGCCCUGAAGAUCGGGAUAAGCCGGGGGAAACCUGGUCUAAUACCGAAUGUCUCCGUCUGGUCGCAUGGCCGGACGAAGAAAUGGAUUCCGCUUCAGGAGGGUCUCGCGGCCUAUCAGCUUGUUGGUGGGGUAACGGCCUACCAAGGCUCCGACGGGUAGCUGGUCUGAGAGGACGAUCAGCCACACUGGGACUGAGACACGGCCCAGACUCCUACGGGAGGCAGCAGUGGGGAAUCUUGCGCAAUGGGCGAAAGCCUGACGCAGCAACGCCGCGUGGGGGAUGAAGGCCUCGGUUGUAACCCUUUCUACGCAGGAACGAAACGUAGACGGUACCUCGCACGAAGAAGGUACCGGCCGAACUACGU